RNAcentral lists this ribosomal RNA (1081 nucleotides) under Salegentibacter sp. RNAcentral's name for it is "bacterial SSU rRNA". It matches the Rfam family "Bacterial small subunit ribosomal RNA", at positions 340 to 1420 of the family's 1533-position model. Lineage: Bacteria; Pseudomonadati; Bacteroidota; Flavobacteriia; Flavobacteriales; Flavobacteriaceae. The record is from RNAcentral.
UACGGGAGGCAGCAGUGAGGAAUAUUGGACAAUGGGAGCAAUCCUGAUCCAGCCAUGCCGCGUGCAGGAAGACUGCCCUAUGGGUUGUAAACUGCUUUUACAGAGGAAGAAUCGCCAUUACGUGUANUGGUUUGACGGUACUCUGGGAAUAAGGAUCGGCUAACUCCGUGCCAGCAGCCGCGGUAAUACGGAGGAUCCGAGCGUUAUCCGGAAUCAUUGGGUUUAAAGGGUCCGUAGGCGGGCAGUUAAGUCAGUGGUGAAAGUCUGUCGCUUAACGAUAGAAUUGCCAUUGAAACUGAUUGUCUUGAGUUAUUAUGAAGUGGUUAGAAUGAGUAGUGUAGCGGUGAAAUGCAUAGAUAUUACUCAGAACACCGAUUGCGAAGGCAGAUCACUAAUAAUAUACUGACGCUGAUGGACGAAAGCGUAGGUAGCGAACAGGAUUAGAUACCCUGGUAGUCUACGCCGUAAACGAUGGUCACUAGCUGUUCGGACUAAUUGCGGUCUGAGUGGUUAAGCGAAAGUGAUAAGUGACCCACCUGGGGAGUACGUUCGCAAGAAUGAAACUCAAAGGAAUUGACGGGGGCCCGCACAAGCGGUGGAGCAUGUGGUUUAAUUCGAUGAUACGCGAGGAACCUUACCAGGGCUUAAAUGUAGUCUGACAGUCCCCGAAAGGGGAUUUUCUUCGGACAGAUUACAAGGUGCUGCAUGGUUGUCGUCAGCUCGUGCCGUGAGGUGUCAGGUUAAGUCCUAUAACGAGCGCAACCCCUGUGGUUAGUUGCCAGCGAGUAAUGUCGGGAACUCUAGCCAGACUGCCGGUGCAAACCGCGAGGAAGGUGGGGAUGACGUCAAAUCAUCACGGCCCUUACGUCCUGGGCCACACACGUGCUACAAUGGUAGGGACAGAGAGCAGCCACUUCGCGAGAAGGAGCGAAUCUACAAACCCUAUCACAGUUCGGAUCGCAGUCUGCAACUCGACUGCGUGAAGCUGGAAUCGCUAGUAAUCGCAUAUCAGCCAUGAUGCGGUGAAUACGUUCCCGGGCCUUGUACACACCGCCCGUCAAGCCAUGAAAGCCGGGGGUAC